UGAGGAAUAUUGGUCAAUGGGCGCAAGCCUGAACCAGCCAUGCCGCGUGCAGGAUGACGGCCCUAUGGGUUGUAAACUGCUUUUGUACGGGAAGAAACCCCUUUACGUGUAAAGGUUUGACGGUACCGUAAGAAUAAGGAUCGGCUAACUCCGUGCCAGCAGCCGCGGUAAUACGGAGGAUCCAAGCGUUAUCCGGAAUCAUUGGGUUUAAAGGGUCCGUAGGCGGCCCUGUAAGUCAGUGGUGAAAUCUCCCCGCUCAACGGGGAAACUGCCAUUGAUACUGCAGGGCUUGAAUUAUUGGGAAGUAAUUAGAAUAUGUAGUGUAGCGGUGAAAUGCUUAGAUAUUACAUGGAAUACCGAUUGCGAAGGCAGGUUACUACCAAUUGAUUGACGCUGAUGGACGAAAGCGUGGGGAGCGAACAGGAUUAGAUACCCUGGUAGUCCACGCCGUAAACGAUGGAUACUAGCUGUUCGGUUGCAAGACUGAGUGGCUAAGCGAAAGUGAUAAGUAUCCCA
RNAcentral lists this ribosomal RNA (516 nucleotides) under uncultured bacterium. RNAcentral describes it as "bacterial SSU rRNA". It matches the Rfam family "Bacterial small subunit ribosomal RNA", at positions 355 to 871 of the family's 1533-position model. The record is from RNAcentral.